RNAcentral lists this ribosomal RNA (338 nucleotides) under uncultured bacterium. RNAcentral's name for it is "bacterial SSU rRNA". It matches the Rfam family "Bacterial small subunit ribosomal RNA", at positions 27 to 349 of the family's 1533-position model. The record is from RNAcentral.
GAGCGAACGUUAGCGGCAGGCCUAACACAUGCAAGUCGCACGAGAAUUCGGCUUCGGCCGAUAGUAAAGUGGCGGACGGGUGAGUAACACGUGGAUAAUCUGCCCUUCGGCGGGGGACGAACAGUCCGAAGGAUUGCUAAUACCGCGUACGUCAGCGAGGUCUUCGGACUUCGUUGGGAAAGACGGCCUCUUCAUGAAAGCUGUCACCGAAGGAUGAGUCCGCGGCCCAUCAGCUAGUUGGCGGGGUAAUGGCCCACCAAGGCUUAGACGGGUAGCUGGUCUGAGAGGAUGAUCAGCCACACUGGAAUUGAGACACGGUCCAGACUCCUACGGGAGGC